This 417-nucleotide ribosomal RNA is filed under the name uncultured bacterium. RNAcentral's name for it is "bacterial SSU rRNA". It matches the Rfam family "Bacterial small subunit ribosomal RNA", at positions 355 to 787 of the family's 1533-position model. The record is from RNAcentral.
UGGGGAAUAUUGCACAAUGGGGAAAGACCCUGAUGCAGCGACGCCGCGUGAGCGAAGAAGUAUUUCGGUAUGUAAAGCUCUAUCAGCAGGGAAGAUAAUGACGGUACCUGACUAAGAAGCCCCGGCUAACUACGUGCCAGCAGCCGCGGUAAUACGUAGGGGGCAAGCGUUAUCCGGAUUUACUGGGCGUAAAGGGCGCGUAGGCGGUUCGCUAAGUCGGAUGUGAGAACUCUGGGCUCAACCCAGAGCCUGCAUCCGAAACUGGCGGGCUAGAGUUCUGGAGGGGGUAGCGGAGUUCCUGGUGUAGCGGUGAAAUGCGUAGAUAUCAGGAGGAACACCGGUGGCGAAGGCGGCUACCUGGACAGAAACUGACGCUGAGGCGCGAAAGCUAGGGGAGCAAAACAGGAUUAGAUACCC